GGUGAAAUUCUUGGAUUUGUUGAAGACGGACUACUGCGAAAGUCAUCUGCCAAGAUGUUCUCAUUGAUCAAGAACGAAAGUUAGGUGAUCGAAGACGAUCAGAUACCGUCCUAGUCUUUUUCCUAAACUAUGGCCACUGGAGAUGCGGGGGGUCGGGAUUACGUGACGCCCUCUGCAUCUUGAGAGAAAUCAAAGUCUUUGGGUUCCGGGGGGAGUAUGGGGCGCAGGCUGAAACUUAAAGGAAUUGACGGAAGGGCACCACCAGGAGUGGAGCCUGCGGCUUAAUUUGACUCAACACGGGGAAACUUACCAGGUCCAGACAUAGUAAGGAUUGACAGACUGAUAGCUCUUUCGAGAUUCUAUGGGUG
RNAcentral lists this ribosomal RNA (368 nucleotides) under uncultured Syndiniales. RNAcentral describes it as "SSU rRNA". It matches the Rfam family "Eukaryotic small subunit ribosomal RNA", at positions 910 to 1276 of the family's 1831-position model. The record is from RNAcentral. Lineage: Eukaryota; Dinophyceae; Syndiniales.